Molecule: transfer RNA, 73 nt
Filed under: Megalops atlanticus (tarpon)
Lineage: Eukaryota; Metazoa; Chordata; Actinopteri; Elopiformes; Megalopidae
Description: tRNA-OTHER
Source: RNAcentral
UGCUGUGUAGCAUAGUGGUUAAGGAGCAGGACUCGUAACCGAAAGGUUGCUGGUUCGAUCCCUGCUGGGGCAC